Molecule: long non-coding RNA, 874 nt
Filed under: Olea europaea subsp. europaea
Lineage: Eukaryota; Viridiplantae; Streptophyta; Magnoliopsida; Lamiales; Oleaceae
Source: RNAcentral
ACUCCAACUAGUUUGACUAAUUCAAAAUGUAAUUAAAACAUAAAGCUACAUAUGGAAAUAUAAAAUAAACAAAACAAGAAAUAUAUGGAAGUAUCAUUCCAUCUCCCUUAAAGACACACUUGUCCUCAAUUGUGAACUUUGACAUCAACUUUUCAUCUUUUUUCAACGCUCCAAUCUAUGAUUAAGUACAAUGAAAGCUUGAUCUGUUUUGAUUAAGCAUCUUAUUAAAAAUUAGUAGAAUAGGAGAGCAUGCAUCAUCACUCGAUGAUGAGAAGAAAAAAAAAGGAAGUAAAGAGACCAAGACUAUCCUUCUGCCCCUAUUGAUUCUUUAUUUCAUAUGAUUUGAGCAUAAUGACAGCAAACAUAGGAAUAUCCAGAUGAAUGCCUCAAGAGUGGUCUGGUAGGUGGAGGGGCUAAUUAAGCUGAUGGCAAAUUGUGGAUUGAUGACAAAAGAGCAUUGGAAAAGGAUAUGCUAAUGUAACAGUAAAAUUUGGGAUUGGAAGGCUCAUGGCAGAAUGUUAUAUAUUCUCUCCCUAGACUAAAAAGUGGGUUAGACCUGAAAAGGGGGUGUAAAACUAAAUACAGAUGGAGGCUAUAAAUCCUCCCUUGGGCAAGCUGCAGGAGGGGCAUUGUUGAUAUUAUGAAGGAUGGCCUGUUGUUGCUUUCCAUGAAUUCUAUGGGGGCUGCAAUAGCUUUUCUGAAAGUUUAGACCAUUAAAGCACUACAUGUAGGGAUCAUCUUAUGCAAGCCGAAACAAAAAUGGAAGCAUUUUUAUUUGCUAUAGUAGAUAGGAGAACCAUAUAAACAUUAAUAAUGAAAAAUCCUGGAACUACAUACAGAAAAUAUUUUUCUUAUGUACUUCAUGUUGCAAAAG